Molecule: unclassified non-coding RNA, 325 nt
Filed under: uncultured fungus
Lineage: Eukaryota; Fungi
Description: partial contains small subunit ribosomal RNA, internal transcribed spacer 1, and 5.8S ribosomal RNA
Rfam family: Eukaryotic small subunit ribosomal RNA (bases 1-73)
Source: RNAcentral
GCAAACUUGGUCAUUUAGAGGAAGUAAAAGUCGUAACAAGGUUUCCGUAGGUGAACCUGCGGAAGGAUCAUUACCGAAUGUCAAACACGGGCUGUUGCUGGCCCCCAAACGGGGGCAUGUGCACGCUCUGUUUACACAUCCACUCACACCUGUGCACUCUCUGUAGUUCUACGGUCUGGGGGGGACCUCGUCCUUCCUUUUGUAGCUCUACGUCUUUACACACACGCCAUAAAGAUGUCUCAUGGAGUGCCUUCUGCGUUUAACGCGAUACAAUACAACUUUCAGCAACGGAUCUCUUGGCUCUCGCAUCGAUGAAGAACGCAGC